CUCCAUCUGUUUUAAGGUUUAAGGGUGGUGGCACAGCUAAGACCCAAGAGUCUCUUUCAAGACACUGAAUUUGAGCAGAAACCAUAAGGAUACUCAAAGGACCUGUGACUCUCAGGAAAUGCAUCAAAUGAGAGAGACAGAUGAAACAGUUUCAAGACAAUGGCAGGAAAAAAAUGCUGAAGAUUGAAACAAACCUUGGCUGGAAAUAUUUGAAGGUAUCUAGCCAGUCCACAAUGAAAGCUUCGUUGCACCCAAUGAGUCUUCUGGCAGAAAUGAUGGCGGCUGUAUUCUUUGGUUUCCCUAAACAUCACACCCUGCCUGUUUAUACGAGGCUCUUCAAUUAAGUCUGCACCCAAAGAUUCAAUAAGAGAGGGGAUCCUGCCAGUCCAAAGUGAACUCCUGAUGGACAUUGAAGUACUCCUGCAGAGCUUGUAUCUUCAACACCAUGCGCAUUAGAAACUCCACCGAGUCCUUUCCUUCACCAAGGCAGGACCCAGUGACUCAUUACUGUUGAUAGGUCAGGGGCAGGUAAUAUUUUGUUUCAUGUUUAUUCAUUCCUCCAUGGAUUACCAGCCAUAUAUAUGGACACAUGCUGUAUUCUCAAGA
This is a non-coding RNA of Maylandia zebra (zebra mbuna), 606 nucleotides long. Lineage: Eukaryota; Metazoa; Chordata; Actinopteri; Cichliformes; Cichlidae. The record is from RefSeq and is a predicted model, not a curated record.